This 209-nucleotide unclassified non-coding RNA is filed under the name Hevea brasiliensis (rubber tree). Lineage: Eukaryota; Viridiplantae; Streptophyta; Magnoliopsida; Malpighiales; Euphorbiaceae. The record is from RNAcentral.
AAUUAUUUGGAUUUAGUGAAGUUUUUGGAUGAUAAAUUUAUGAAUGAUUUUAAGAUAGGGAGUUUUAAAGGAAUUAUUUUGUUGAUUUUUGUUUAGAUUGUAGAAUUUUAAGGAUAUGAAGUGGUUAAUAGUUUAAGUUAUUUAUUUUGGGGUGAAUAUGUUAUGUAAUAAGAGAUAUUUAAUGUAUUUUAUUAUUUAUUGUGUUAUUG